Molecule: long non-coding RNA, 2990 nt
Filed under: Phoenix dactylifera (date palm)
Lineage: Eukaryota; Viridiplantae; Streptophyta; Magnoliopsida; Arecales; Arecaceae
Description: long non-coding RNA (PDAC_LNC000601)
Source: RNAcentral
CUGAUUAUGCGCCUGGCACACAGAAAAAGGUGACUGGAGAGGUUAUCAGGUGGAAUGAGGCUACCGGCCUUGAGAAAAUGGAUGCAGUGAAAUACAUAGAAAUGCUUGAAGCAGAAAUUGAGGAACUGAACCGCCAAGUUGCAAGGAGAUCUCCAAAUGGACAGAAUGAACUUUUGGAUUAUUUGAAAUCUUUAGAACCUCAGAAUUUGANNNNNNNNNNNNNNNNNNNNGAGAGAGAGAGAGAAGAGGAGACGUGCAAACCUUGGCCAAAAGGGUUUCUUUGCUCUUUCGUAGAAUUCAGCAUACCAUAUAUAUAUAUUUUUGAAAGCACUUCUUGCCUCUUUAUAAACUCUACCAACCCUCUAAAAAAGUUCCUAGUUUGAGUCAUCUAGGACUCUUACAAAUGCAGAAAGAAAAAUCCUCUUGAAAUCCCACUAACUACCAACCUACUUGACUCUUACUGGGACUCCUAAAAGAUCACGGUGACCAUAAUGCAUACUGUACAUGCUACAGCGAUGUGAACUAUUUAAAACACAUCAAUUAAUAAAAUAUAUAAUUCAGAGACAAAUAAUUUCUUUACCAAAUAAAACAAAAAGACUCUUGGACUAUUUACCUUCUUUGACUAUCUAUGGACCUAAAAGAUGCUCCUGCAUCAUACGCUUCUGCUACUUAGAUCUUGUCCUCGAGAUCUUCAUGAUGUCACUCUGAAACUUGAUUUACCAUUUAAUCUCAAGAUCUGAUGAUGAAGGGCUACUUAGAAUUUUCUUGCAAUCACACUAUUGAUUGGUCAGUUUGAUGGCUAUUCAUUGACAAUCAACAAGCUUUAUAGUAUACAUUUAAUGGUUCAUUGAAUCCAGCCAAGUGAUGCGGAACAGAUCUUCAUUUUGCUUGAUCUCUUUCAUUGCAUUGAAGACUGUGACUUCAUCUCACCUCGAGUGCUCUCCGUGUGCAUUGUUGUUACUUUGAUGUUCUAACUUUCAAAUGCUAGAUGACCCAACGAGUAUAAGGUUCCCAAUUGGUAGAUCUUCAAUUGUAGCUUGUUUACAUGAUGGAACUUCACUCACAUGCCCUUCACGUAAUGUAGCCUUCAACUGGAGGCUCUUCAUGCAACUCAACUUCGCCUUGAGCUAAAAAGAUUGGCUUUGAAACCUGAUGCUUGCAAGCUUGAGAUGAACUAGAACUGCUACAUGAUCUAAUAUCUAGAGAUGGUGCAAUUGCUUUCAAAGGUAUGUUUAUUGACACUAGAUCACUCUUGACAAGUGUCAAAUCAGCAUGCAUUUGCUCGAAAACUUUCUUCUCAUACUUGAUAUAUUGAUAAAAGGCAUCAAUCCUGAAACCUAACUCUUUAUUUGAUAACAUGAUGAAAGGCUAGGAAGAAAAGGAGGGGAUGCAAAUUAAUGCAGGACCAUUUAGGGUUGGCCUGUUCUGUGUGAGAGGAUCAUAGAGAUUGGAUAGUUUAGGGUGUGAAGCAAUUUUAUUGCUCGCUGUCUGAAGUCCUGAGAAUUGGACAGCAAAUAAUAGAACUAAAUUUAUCGGCAAAUGGUAGUGCAAAAAGUUCUGUCUAGGGUUUUUGAGUGAGGAGCUAGUAGGAAAAAGGAAUAGAACGAAUGCAGUUCUUAACUGAAGUAUCUGGUGUAUAUUUUGGACCAGAUUAUAGUAAAUAUUUGUUAGAGAUUUUUCGAGUGCAGCAAAACACCAAGAGAGGAAUCAAUAUUUUUCUUGGAAUAAAUAGAUUGAUAUAUUGAUUAAAUAAAUCAUAAUAUGGAGAUGCAAAAUUUGUUCACAGAACUCUGAUAUAAACUUAAGCAACAUCAACAAUCAAUGAUGAAUAGAACAAAGAAUAAUAAAGUAUAGAUAGAAGAGGAAGAAAAGAAAAUAAUAAGAAAGAUAGGGGAGAAGAAGUACGAGAGAAAGAGAUAGAAGAGGAGACAGCCAAACUUUGGCCAAUAGGGCUUCUUUAUUCUUUCACAGAAUUCAGCAUACCGUAUUUUUUUCAGUAGCCCUUCUGGACUCUUUAUACACUCUACCAGCCUCUAAAAAACUUUGAGUCAUCUAGGGCCUCUUCCAAAUUCAGAAAGAAAGAUUCCCUUGAAAUCCCACCGAGUACCAACCUAUUUGACUCUUGCCAGGACUCCUAAAUGAUCACGGUUACUGUAGCACAAACUCUUCACACAACAGAGCGUGAGUUGUAACUCUUAGUUACUUUCCUACCUAAAACACAUCAUAAAAUACAUAAUCGGACCCAAACAAUUUCCAUAUCAGUGCCAAGUUUUGGUUUAAUGAAAAUGAGAUAUUGGAAGCUCUUUGUUUUUCAAACUAUUCUUUAACUAAUUUAAAUGCACGUGUCAUGGCGCUAAGGUCUCAAAUAGACAAACUUAUGCUAGCGAGUAUGAAAUCAUUAUAUUGUUGAUAAAAAAAAAAAAACGUGUGAAGCCCUAGUGUGCUUUUUUGUCAUUGAAAAUGGAGAUUUUUUGAUCCAUGGAAUUUUAGAUAAAUUGGAAAUUAUACAUAUACUAAUAUUAUACAGUUCCUUCCAGCAGCCUUGGCAUGCUAAUCUGCAUAUUAAAAAGAAAACCCCCUUUAUCAGUACCACAAAAGAUUUAGCCAUAGAGAUGUAGUAUAUCUUUGUUUAAUUUCUGCAAUGUUGUAUUGCUUACCUGUUUGAUGAUGUUUCUAUUUUUGCUGCAUUACAUAAAUAAACAAUUUUCCUUCAUGCUGUUUUUAGUCUCAAUAUUGGAAUUCUUAUAAUAUGCCCCCUUUUUACCAUUGUAGGAUGUACCUGAUUAUGCGCCUGGCACACAGAAAAAGGUGACUGGAGAGGUUAUCAGGUGGAAUGAGGCUACCGGCCUUGAGAAAAUGGAUGCAGUGAAAUACAUAGAAAUGCUUGAAGCAGAAAUUGAGGAACUGAACCGCCAAGUUGCAAGGAGAUCUCCAAAUGGACAGAAUGAACUUUUGGAUUAUUUGAAAUCUUUAGAACCUCAGAAUUUGAA